GUGGGGAAUUUUGGACAAUGGGCGCAAGCCUGAUCCAGCCAUGCCGCGUGCAGGAAGACGCAUCUAUGGUGUGUAAACUGCUUUUGUACGGGAAGAAACACUCCCUCGUGAGGGAGCUUGACGGUACCGUAAGAAUAAGGAUCGGCUAACUCCGUGCCAGCAGCCGCGGUAAUACGGAGGAUCCAAGCGUUAUCCGGAAUCAUUGGGUUUAAAGGGUCCGUAGGCGGUUUAAUAAGUCAGUGGUGAAAGCCCAUCGCUCAACGAUGGAACGGCCAUUGAUACUGUUAGACUUGAAUUACAAGGAAGUAACUAGAAUAUGUAGUGUAGCGGUGAAAUGCUUAGAGAUCACACAGAAUAUCGAUUGCGAAGGCAGCUCACAAAGCCAUUAUUGACGCUGAGGCACGAAAGUGUGUGGAUCAAACAGGAUUAGAAACCCGGGUAGUCC
RNAcentral lists this ribosomal RNA (445 nucleotides) under uncultured bacterium. RNAcentral's name for it is "partial 16S ribosomal RNA". It matches the Rfam family "Bacterial small subunit ribosomal RNA", at positions 354 to 796 of the family's 1533-position model. The record is from RNAcentral.